This 610-nucleotide ribosomal RNA is filed under the name Streptomyces sp. SCAU5206. RNAcentral describes it as "bacterial SSU rRNA". It matches the Rfam family "Bacterial small subunit ribosomal RNA", at positions 74 to 699 of the family's 1533-position model. The record is from RNAcentral. Lineage: Bacteria; Bacillati; Actinomycetota; Actinomycetes; Kitasatosporales; Streptomycetaceae.
CCGCUUUCGGGCGGGGAUUAGUGGCGAACGGGUGAGUAACACGUGGGCAAUCUGCCCUGCACUCUGGGACAAGCCCUGGAAACGGGGUCUAAUACCGGAUAUGACCGUCUGCCGCAUGGUGGAUGGUGUAAAGCUCCGGCGGUGCAGGAUGAGCCCGCGGCCUAUCAGCUUGUUGGUGAGGUAGUGGCUCACCAAGGCGACGACGGGUAGCCGGCCUGAGAGGGCGACCGGCCACACUGGGACUGAGACACGGCCCAGACUCCUACGGGAGGCAGCAGUGGGGAAUAUUGCACAAUGGGCGAAAGCCUGAUGCAGCGACGCCGCGUGAGGGAUGACGGCCUUCGGGUUGUAAACCUCUUUCAGCAGGGAAGAAGCGAAAGUGACGGUACCUGCAGAAGAAGCGCCGGCUAACUACGUGCCAGCAGCCGCGGUAAUACGUAGGGCGCAAGCGUUGUCCGGAAUUAUUGGGCGUAAAGAGCUCGUAGGCGGCUUGUCACGUCGGUUGUGAAAGCCCGGGGCUUAACCCCGGGUCUGCAGUCGAUACGGGCAGGCUAGAGUUCGGUAGGGGAGAUCGGAAUUCCUGGUGUAGCGGUGAAAUGCGCAGAUAUCA